Triticum aestivum (bread wheat) is the source of this 2580-nucleotide long non-coding RNA. RefSeq lists it as uncharacterized. NCBI's taxonomy places the organism in Eukaryota, Viridiplantae, Streptophyta, Magnoliopsida, Poales, Poaceae. The transcript has 3 exons. The record is from RefSeq and is a predicted model, not a curated record.
CCAUGACGCCGGCCACCGUUGCCACCUAUUUUUGAACCCAAAUACUAAGCAUGAUUAUCGGCCUUUCAGACUUCGAACCAUAAAGAAAACAUGGCCAAUACACAAUUCUUUCCUUACUCACCUUGACGCAUAUGGACUACAAGGUUUUGCUAGGCUCACAUCAAGCGAAGACCCUUCCCAGUUACGUUCGGACCCAUCCCUUUUGACAUCCCUCAUUGACCGGUGGAGACCUGAAACCCACACCUUUCACUUUCGUUUUGAGGAGCUUGCACCUACACUGAAAGAUGUUUCUAUGAUCACUGCUCUACCAAUUAGAGGUGAGCCGUUAGUCUCUCCAAGAGUGUCUCCAUCUUGGCCAUUAGAUAUAGCAGCCCGUCUUGGGAUGGAAAUGCCAGAAUCACAACGUACUGGUGGCCCUCGGGGCAUCCCACUCGUCUGGCUUCAUGAUAACUUCCGUAUUUUAUCUAGCUUCGCCAAUGAGGAGACGAGAAAAAGACAUCUGUUUGCGUAUUUGUUGUGGCUCUUCGGGACUCUGUUUCCAAAUUCACAUGGGGACGUAGUUCUCCCUGAUCUCAUCUACAUUGCACAGAAUAUGGUAGAUGAACCUUUACCCGAGCAGCCAAAAUACAGCUUCGGUUCUGCCAUGUUAUCUCAUACAUAUAGAGGCUUGUGUGAUGCCACACAAAAAACCUCUUUCGCACAAAAAGCUCCAUUACUUUGUGUCGCCUACGAAUUUCUACAGUUGUGGUCCUGGGAAUACCCCCCUGUAGGACGACCUCGUAUAGUACAACCCGCACACCCAUACGACUUUAGUGAGGGUGGUAGUGCAACUAUGGCCACCAGGUGGACAAAGGCACGGAAACGUUGGUCUCCAGAUAUUGCGAAAAAUUGUUACCCUAUGUACCACCAGCAGUUUGAGAUACUUGAUGAGGCAGAAGUCACAUGGAACCCGUGGACUCAGGACCAACUACAAAUGGUCUUUGAUGCUCGACCCUUCACACUAGGCAUGUUAAGCGAUAGUGCAUUCUGGCUGACUCGCUGCAACUUAUUGUUCCUGUGGUAUGUUGAGCCUUACAACCCAGAGCGUGUAAUGAGACAAUUCGGUCUCUAUCAAGAAAUUCCACCACCUUUUCCAAGACGUAUCGAUGAGGAAACCCAUAAGUAAGAUGUGACCUCCCUAAAUAGUUAGUGUCUUUUUUAAUUUACUAAACUCACACUUUGUUACAUAAUUUGCAGGCUAACCAAUAUGGGCAGGGGUUGGAAUUUAUACGAUUGGAGGAAACACAACAUUCAAUGGGUACAGAAGUGGGAAAAUGAAGCGCUAGUAGAUAUAGUGCAUGAACUUAGACCAUACGAUGGAAGUACAGAUCAAGCGUACAAGCAGUGGUACUGCAUCAACACACGUGCUAGCCUGGCCAGUCAGCCAACUACUAUACCGACACAUCUCACACAGGAGGAGCAGGCGCGGAGACAUAUUGAGCUGCAUGCAGCUUACUAUUGUGAUCAGAUGGUAAUCACUUGUAACUUUUUUAGGUCCAUCAUUUCAUAAUCAUUUGAACCAAAUAACAUCCAAAUAUUGCUCAACUUGCAAGUUGCAACGAAGUAGGGCAGAUGGCUAUGGAAAGCAUGCCUGCCCAGGGCCCAGCUCGCCCGUCAUUCAGCAAAUGUUUUCAACAAUACCUGGUAACAAAGUUCAGAUGCGGUAGAGGCGAUGAUGUUGUCACUGGAGCGUACAACAUGCCAGUAGCAAGGUCAGCCAGACCGAGUGCGGCGCCGUCGUCCAGACCGAGCGAGGCGCGUACGAGCCAUGGGCAGUGGGGGGAGAGUCCGAGUACUAGAACGACAUUGCCACGACAUGACUCAUCUCUGCCACUGCAUCGCUCUUCUUCGGUGCAGCUUCGUCAGGGGCAGACAUCUCAGGGCCAUGGCAAGGGCUUGGAUUCGAUGCCCAAGCAGACUCUUUCCCCUAACCCAUAUGCGUACACAGGAUAUGACGCAUACACCCAAGGUGAGGGAUCUUAGUCGUAUCUCUCCACGCGAGGGAUCUCCAUGCCCGAGGAGACUCGUGUACCAGAUUUAAACCAGUACCACGUACAAUGGCCAGACAGUACAGGCGAGGGAUCUGAUCAGGGUGGCAUACCUGAUGUUAAUUGGGACGAUGAGAACACCCAACGUGGCGUCAACACAGGCGUCCCGGGAGCAUCACAUGAUCAUGGCGACACGGUUACAUCAUUAGUUACAGAGUUCUUCGGAGGGGACGUUAUUGGCCCAUCUUUUAUCCCCGCGGAGUCACAACCAUACACCUACAAUUAUGCUUCAGGUUCGUAACAAGGAUUCCCGACUCCACCACCUACACAGGAGUCGCAGACACAUGAAGCCGAAUUGGAGUACGGCCGCGGUCUUCGUGUAACUCGGCCACCUAAUCGCUUGGAGCUUUCCGGUCGUAAGGAAAUGCCAUGUGGUCAUCGUAAACUAGGGUGAUUCAUCUAUCCACGUGUGUGACCCAUUGUAUCUACAUAUGUCAGUAUCAGACUUUUCGAUUUGAACAUCUAUGUAUGCUGAAAUAAAAAUGCACCAGUC